This 497-nucleotide ribosomal RNA is filed under the name uncultured bacterium. Its description in RNAcentral is "partial 16S ribosomal RNA". It matches the Rfam family "Bacterial small subunit ribosomal RNA", at positions 28 to 507 of the family's 1533-position model. The record is from RNAcentral.
GACGAACGCUGGCGGCGUGCCUAAUACAUGCAAGUAGUACGCUGAAGAGAGGAGCUUACUCUUCUUGGAUGAGUUGUGAACGGGUGAGUAACGCGUAGGUAACCUGCCUUGUAGCGGGGGAUAACUAUUGGAAACGAUAGCUAAUACCGCAUAACAAUGGAUGACACAUGUCAUUUAUUUGAAAGGGGCAAUUGCUCCACUACAAGAUGGACCUGCGUUGUAUUAGCUAGUAGGUGAGGUAAUGGCUCACCUAGGCGACGAUACAUAGCCGACCUGAGAGGGUGAUCGGCCACACUGGGACUGAGACACGGCCCAGACUCCUACGGGAGGCAGCAGUAGGGAAUCUUCGGCAAUGGGGGCAACCCUGACCGAGCAACGCCGCGUGAGUGAAGAAGGUUUUCGGAUCGUAAAGCUCUGUUGUAAGUCAAGAACGGGUGUGAGAGUGGAAAGUUCACACUGUGACGGUAGCUUACCAGAAAGGGACGGCUAACUACGUG